GAGGCAUGCCUGCCCAGUGACACCAGUUUAACGGCCGCGGUAUUCUGACCGUGCAAAGGUAGCAUAAUCACUUGUUCUCCAAAUAAGGACUUGUAUGAAUGGCCACACGAGGGUUUUACUGUCUCUUACUUCCAAUCAGUGAAAUUAACCUUCCCGUGAAGAGGCGGGAAUAAAAAAAUAAGACGAGAAGACCCUAUGGAGCUUUAAUUAACUAUUCCAAAAGUUAAACAACUCAACCACAAAGGGAUAAAACAUAACUUAACAUGGACUAGCAAUUUCGGUUGGGGUGACCUCGGAGUACAAAAAACCCUCCGAGUGAUUUUAAUCUAGACAAACCAGUCAAAAUAACCAUAACAUCACUUAUUGAUCCAAAAUUUUGAUCAACGGAACAAGUUACCCUAGGGAUAACAGCGCAAUCCUGUUCUAGAGUUCCUAUCGACAAUAGGGUUUACGACCUCGAUGUUGGAUCAGGACACCCAAAUGGUGCAACCGCUAUUAAA
This 500-nucleotide ribosomal RNA is filed under the name Sus scrofa (pig). RNAcentral describes it as "partial large subunit ribosomal RNA". It matches the Rfam family "Bacterial large subunit ribosomal RNA", at positions 1850 to 2569 of the family's 2925-position model. Lineage: Eukaryota; Metazoa; Chordata; Mammalia; Artiodactyla; Suidae. The record is from RNAcentral.